RNAcentral lists this transfer RNA (94 nucleotides) under Candidatus Nomurabacteria bacterium. Its description in RNAcentral is "tRNA-Ser". It matches the Rfam family "tRNA". Rfam says of the family: Transfer RNA (tRNA) molecules are approximately 80 nucleotides in length. Their secondary structure includes four short double-helical elements and three loops (D, anti-codon, and T loops). Lineage: Bacteria; Candidatus Nomuraibacteriota. The record is from RNAcentral.
GGUUGGGUGGCCGAGUCUGGUUGAAGGCGCACGACUCGAAAUCGUGUAAGCGGCUUAAACCGCUUCGUGGGUUCAAAUCCCACCCCAACCGCCA